RNAcentral lists this small RNA (349 nucleotides) under Arabidopsis thaliana (thale cress). RNAcentral describes it as "ATSL269380". Lineage: Eukaryota; Viridiplantae; Streptophyta; Magnoliopsida; Brassicales; Brassicaceae. The record is from RNAcentral.
AAAGCCUCAUACAGACUUUAGCUAUACCAUCAAAGCCUUGAGAAGCAAGAAGAAGCUUGGUUAGUGUUUUGGAGUCAAAUAUUACUAGAUGUCAUGUGUAUGAGUGAGUAUGACAACUAGAACCAUAACCGGAUCUUAAAAACCUAAGUAUUGAAUCUUUGUUAGAAGAUACAAAGAAAAAGACUCAUACGGACUUCGACUACACUAUCAAAGCUUUGAGAAGCAAGAAGAACCUUGGUUAGUGUUUUGGAUUCGAAUAUGACUUGAUGUCAUGUGUAUGACUCAGUAUAAAAACUAGAACCGCAACAUAUCUUAGAAGCAUAAGUAUUGUAUCAUUGUUAGAAGAUUC